RNAcentral lists this long non-coding RNA (199 nucleotides) under Salvia miltiorrhiza (redroot sage). RNAcentral's name for it is "long non-coding RNA (SMIL_LNC011950)". The record is from RNAcentral. Lineage: Eukaryota; Viridiplantae; Streptophyta; Magnoliopsida; Lamiales; Lamiaceae.
GAAGUUACCAUGGAAGUGGAGAAUGACUAGGGAUAAGGAUUUUACAUUGAACAUUUUAGUAGAAUUUGUUAAGUUUUAGUUUAUCGUUUUUUUUUUUUUNUUAUGAUACUAUUUUAGUUUUGGCAAGUUGACUUUGAAAUUAGUUUAAAUUUUCUUUAUAAAUCAAGAAAUUAUUAUUUUACUAUCUUUUGUUUCUCUA